RNAcentral lists this ribosomal RNA (192 nucleotides) under uncultured bacterium. RNAcentral describes it as "partial 16S ribosomal RNA". It matches the Rfam family "Bacterial small subunit ribosomal RNA", at positions 1309 to 1500 of the family's 1533-position model. The record is from RNAcentral.
AACCCGACUACAUGAAGCUGGAAUCGCUAGUAAUCGCGAAUCAGAAUGUCGCGGUGAAUACGUUCCCGGGUCUUGUACACACCGCCCGUCACACCAUGGGAGUCGGAUAUGCCCGAAGCCGGUGACCUAACCGCAAGGAAGGAGCCGUCGAAGGUGGAGCCGAUGACUGGGGUNAAGUCGUAACAAGGUAGC